RNAcentral lists this ribosomal RNA (416 nucleotides) under uncultured bacterium. RNAcentral describes it as "bacterial SSU rRNA". It matches the Rfam family "Bacterial small subunit ribosomal RNA", at positions 32 to 438 of the family's 1533-position model. The record is from RNAcentral.
AAUCAACGCUGGCGGCGUGCCUCAGACAUGCAAGUCGAACGAUUAAAGCUCUCUUCGGAGAGUGCAUAGAGUGGCGCACGGGUGAGUAACACGUAAGUAAUCUACCUUCGAGUGGGGAAUAACAGUCGGAAACGACUGCUAAUACCGCAUAAUGCAGCGGCAUCGCAAGAUGACAGUUGUUAAAGGAGCAAUUCGCUUGAAGAGGAGCUUGCGGCAGAUUAGCUUGUUGGUAAGGUAACGGCUUACCAAGGCUACGAUCUGUAACCGGUCUAAGAGGACGGUCGGUCACACUGACACUGAAUAACGGGUCAGACUCCUACGGGAGGCAGCAGUCGGGAAUUUUGGGCAAUGGGCGAAAGCCUGACCCAGCAACGCCGCGUGAAGGAUGAAGUAUUUCGGUAUGUAAACUUCGAAAG